GAUGAACGCUGGCGGCGUGCCUAAUACAUGCAAGUCGAGCGAACAGAUGAGGAGCUUGCUCCUCUGACGUUAGCGGCGGACGGGUGAGUAACACGUGGAUAACCUACCUAUAAGACUGGGAUAACUUCGGGAAACCGGAGCUAAUACCGGAUAAUAUAUUGAACCGCAUGGUUCAAUAGUGAAAGACGGUUUUGCUGUCACUUAUAGAUGGAUCCGCGCCGCAUUAGCUAGUUGGUAAGGUAAUGGCUUACCAAGGCAACGAUGCGUAGCCGACCUGAGAGGGUGAUCGGACACACUGGAACUGAGACACGGUCCAGACGACUACGGGAGGCAGCAGUAGGGAAUCUUCCGCAAUGGGCGAAAGCCUGACGGAGCAACGCCGCGUGAGUGAUGAAGGUCUUCGGAUCGUAAAACUCUGUUAUUAGGGAAGAACAAAUGUGUAAGUAACUAUGCACGUCUUGACGGUACCUAAUCAGAAAGCCACGGCUAACUACGUG
RNAcentral lists this ribosomal RNA (497 nucleotides) under uncultured bacterium. RNAcentral describes it as "partial 16S ribosomal RNA". It matches the Rfam family "Bacterial small subunit ribosomal RNA", at positions 28 to 507 of the family's 1533-position model. The record is from RNAcentral.